GAGUUUGAUCGUGGCUCAGAUUGAACGCUGGCGGCAUGCUUUACACAUGCAAGUCGAGCGGCAGCGCGGGGGCAACCCUGGCGGCGAGCGGCGAACGGGUGAGUAAUGGAUAGGAACGUGUCCGGGAGUGGGGGAUAACUAGCCGAAAGGUUAGCUAAUACCGCAUAUUCUGUGCGCAGGAAAGCGGGGGACCUGAAAGGGCCUCGCGCUCGCGGAGUGGCCUAUCUCCGAUUAGCUAGUUGGUGAGGUAAAGGCUUACCAAGGCGACGAUCGGUAGCUGGUCUGAGAGGAUGAUCAGCCACACUGGGACUGAGACACGGCCCAGACUCCUACGGGAGGCAGCAGUGGGGAAUUUUGGACAAUGGGGGCAACCCUGAUCCAGCCAUGCCGCGUGAGGGAAGAA
This 403-nucleotide ribosomal RNA is filed under the name uncultured beta proteobacterium. RNAcentral's name for it is "bacterial SSU rRNA". It matches the Rfam family "Bacterial small subunit ribosomal RNA", at positions 9 to 412 of the family's 1533-position model. The record is from RNAcentral. Lineage: Bacteria; Pseudomonadati; Pseudomonadota; Betaproteobacteria.